ASYYYRGCWGCCRYGRMYKCGWWMUUGACCGUGACGGCACGUGAGUGGUGAGAUAACCCAGUGCGCURGCGGGCUCCCUGCUUAAGUGCGGCCGACCGCGAGUGCGAUGGGAUAUGCUUCGUUCGUGAAAUCCCAAAAUCAUCGGGACUCCGCACGAUGCGGAGGGCAUAUUCGGUGGGUUGYAUCGCAUAGUCGGCRCGCGGCAACUUGGUGACCCUACGUUAGUAACGUUAUGUCCUCCUCCUCUCUCUCGCCCGCUCCCCUCGGACGGGYGGGAAGUGAGAAGCGRCCUCUUACGACGUCCCGUGCGUCCUCGGCGGCGCUCGCAGUCGCACGUAUGCGUACGUGCUACCUGCUUCGUCUGUCCGUCUGGRCCUCGGGACGGUUGAGUGCUUACGGAUGCGGUGAAUCGGAUGGGGGGUCGGGUGGGCGCACGCUGCUGCCGACCCGACGAACGGAAGGUGUUUGCGCACGCCGCGAGCGGGCAAACGAACGGAACGGAAYGAACGACUGCCGGCGGGCAUGCGUGCGUCGUYGUCGAUAGGCUGGCUGCGCCGUCCUGUCCGCGGGCGUCGUCUCGAAGGACUCGCUACCG
Molecule: unclassified non-coding RNA, 595 nt
Filed under: Philodendron radiatum
Lineage: Eukaryota; Viridiplantae; Streptophyta; Magnoliopsida; Alismatales; Araceae
Description: partial external transcribed spacer
Source: RNAcentral